AUGAUAUUAAGCUUAAGCUGCCUUUGGCGCCUUGACGGCCUCGAAUCUUGGCUCCUUGGCCUCGAACUUCUGCUUGUUGUACACGUCCAUAUAAUCCCCGAACACGUAGUCCGGGUACGCGGCGGCGGCGCCUUCGCCCACCGCCGGCGAGAUGGCCACCUCGAACGCCGGGUUGUAGAAGGACGCGAUGGAGCGGCGGUUGCCGUUGCGCAUGGGCAGGACGCGGUGCCACGCGCUGCGGUAGCGGCCGUUGCUGAGCACCUCCACCUGGUCGCCGGUGUUGACGACGAUGGCGUCGGCGAGCGGCUGCACGUCGAGCCACUCGCCGUCCUUGAGCACCUCAAGGCCGCCGACCUUGUCGUCUUGGAACAGCAGGAUGACGCCGCCGGCGUCGGUGUGCGCGCGGAGCCCGGUGAUGAGGUCCGGGCGCGGGCACGGCGGGUAGUGGCUGACCUUGGUGCCGAAGAACGGCGCGUGGAGGCCGUCGCCGGUGAAGGCGGCCUUCAUGCGUCCCUUGUCCAGGCCGAGGUUCUCGUCCAUGGCCUCCAUGACGCGCUCCGCGAGCUUCUUGAGCUCGGCGCGGUACUCCCGCAUGGUCUCCUUGAAGGCCGGCGGGUCGGAGGGCCACUGGUUGUCGUCGUGGAGGUAGAAGAUGUCCUCCCAGUCCAUGUCGUCCACGGGCGCCACCGCCUCGCCGCGCCGCUCCGCCUCCGCCAGCCUCUCCAACGUCUGCACGGGUUCGGACGACCGGAACGCCGCCUCCCGGAGGCGGUAGCUCUCGGAGCACACCUUCUUGACGCGGUCAAGGAGCUCCAGCGGGAUGCCGUGGUUCACCAGCUGGAAGAAGCCCCAGUUCUCGCAGCCGUCGGCGAUCUGGGCCAUGGUCUCCGCCCUCUCGGCGCCGUGGAGCUUCGAGAAGUCGAUCACCGGAACAACCAUGGUGAAUUGGUGACGAUGAGCUUCUCAGAGUUUCAGACUCGGGUGUGGUGUUGUGUGCAGUCUUGUGGAUGUAAGUGCAGGUGCUGGGAUGAGGUGGAGAGAUGUGGGUGGCCAUGGUACUUAUAG
This 1065-nucleotide ribosomal RNA is filed under the name Triticum aestivum (bread wheat). RNAcentral's name for it is "partial small subunit ribosomal RNA". Lineage: Eukaryota; Viridiplantae; Streptophyta; Magnoliopsida; Poales; Poaceae. The record is from RNAcentral.